AACGCGAAGAACCUUACCUGGGCUCGAACGGCUUCCUAACGCCGGUGGAAACACCGGUAUCCCGCAAGGGAGUGGAGUCGAGGUGCUGCAUGGCUGUCGUCAGCUCGUGUCGUGAGAUGUUGGGUUAAGUCCCGCAACGAGCGCAACCCUUGUCCUGUGUUGCCAUGCCGAAAGGCGGAACUCGCAGGAGACCGCCAGCGAUAAGCUGGAGGAAGGUGGGGAUGACGUCAAGUCCUCAUGGCCUUUAUGUCCAGGGCUACACACGUGCUACAAUGGCCGGUACAAUGCGCUGCUAAGUCGCAAGACGGAGCCAAUCGCAAAAAACCGGUCUCAGUUCGGAUUGCAGGCUGCAACUCGCCUGCAUGAAGCUGGAAUCGCUAGUAAUGGCAGAUCAGAACGCUGCCGUGAAUACGUUCCCGGGCCUUGUACACACCGCUAGUC
Molecule: ribosomal RNA, 441 nt
Filed under: uncultured bacterium
Lineage: Bacteria
Description: bacterial SSU rRNA
Rfam family: Bacterial small subunit ribosomal RNA
Source: RNAcentral